This is a microRNA precursor of Cricetulus griseus (Chinese hamster), 64 nucleotides long. The record is from Ensembl. NCBI's taxonomy places the organism in Eukaryota, Metazoa, Chordata, Mammalia, Rodentia, Cricetidae.
GAUGAAAGGAGAGGAGUCGGCAGGGGCUAGCCAUGAGCAUCCUGACCUGUGGCUCCUCUCCCAG